RNAcentral lists this ribosomal RNA (417 nucleotides) under Lactobacillus crispatus. Its description in RNAcentral is "bacterial SSU rRNA". It matches the Rfam family "Bacterial small subunit ribosomal RNA", at positions 377 to 786 of the family's 1533-position model. The record is from RNAcentral. Lineage: Bacteria; Bacillati; Bacillota; Bacilli; Lactobacillales; Lactobacillaceae.
CGAAGUCUGAUGGAGCAACGCCGCGUGAGUGAAGAAGGUUUUCGGAUCGUAAAGCUCUGUUGUUGGUGAAGAAGGAUAGAGGUAGUAACUGGCCUUUAUUUGACGGUAAUCAACCAGAAAGUCACGGCUAACUACGUGCCAGCAGCCGCGGUAAUACGUAGGUGGCAAGCGUUGUCCGGAUUUAUUGGGCGUAAAGCGAGCGCAGGCGGAAGAAUAAGUCUGAUGUGAAAGCCCUCGGCUUAACCGAGGAACUGCAUCGGAAACUGUUUUUCUUGAGUGCAGAAGAGGAGAGUGGAACUCCAUGUGUAGCGGUGGAAUGCGUAGAUAUAUGGAAGAACACCAGUGGCGAAGGCGGCUCUCUGGUCUGCAACUGACGCUGAGGCUCGAAAGCAUGGGUAGCGAACAGGAUUAGAUACC